Long non-coding RNA from Mastomys coucha (southern multimammate mouse), 782 nucleotides. RefSeq lists it as uncharacterized. The record is from RefSeq and is a predicted model, not a curated record. The transcript is spliced from 2 exons. NCBI's taxonomy places the organism in Eukaryota, Metazoa, Chordata, Mammalia, Rodentia, Muridae.
AGCUGGCUGCAGCCAGGAUGGCCACGCCCUUCCCACCUGUCCUGGCUUGCGGCCACCCAACACGAAGGGACAGGAUUCCGAAGGGACAGGAUUCCACUUUCUGCGGCUGCACAGGGAGAUGAGUUAACCUUCAAGGGAAGCCACUUUUAGGCCCAGAUCAGGUGAGAAGCGGAAGUUUACUCCUGAGCCAAAGAUAACGGGACAAGUGAGGUGCGGGAAGAAACCAGCGCAGGGACCACAGGAGAGAGAGCCGCUGACCUCAGCGCAGCGCUAAGGUGGGGAGCCUGGGAAGGUCCUGGUGGCCAAGGACUCCCUCCGGUCCAGCUGCUCCUGCUGAAGCACAAUUAGCAAAGCCGGCGUGCUGCCCGAGGCUAACGAUGUUUAUCCAGACGUACUGCACCGGAGGAACCCGCCCCACAUUCCCGGCGGAGCUCCGCAAAGACGCCCCCCGCGGGUGCGCAACCCGCCGCCCGCCCCCGCCUCCUUCCUGCGCAGUAACAGGCACUUGAUCCCAGCGAGCCUGGCGCGGCGGGGUCGGGCCUCCCAGCCGGAGCCCACCAAGCAGACCCGCCGGGGCCGGAGGCCCGACGGCGUCACCGUGUGAAAGUCGCAGAAGUCUGGACAUUUGGUUUCACCGGAGGGGAGGAAGAAAGAACACAAGCUCUUCUAAGCGCACCACAGAAAUGCUACACGUGGCUGGCUCCCUUUCCCCCAUCCCUCAAGAUGCUGACAAUAAGGACUGUGUGUUUGUGACAUUUGUCAUUUUAUAAUAAUGAGUGAAA